GCGAUUUUUGUUGUUUUUGUUCUCACCUCUGUUGGUCCUGAUCUCUGCUUUGUCCAGUUUGGUGACGAUGUCGUCCUCCACACCAGAGAGCUGAAACACACAGUCGUACCUCCUCCAGUCUUCAUCUGGGACUGAUGAAAGGUCCAGGUCUACACUCAUCUGGAAGGAUCCAUCGUGGUUGGGGAGGAUCUCUCCGAGGUCCACGUCCUCAUGAAGCUCCUCUCCAUCUUUCCUCCAGAACAUCAUGGCUCUGUCAGGGUAGAAACCUGUAGCGUGGCAGCUGACUGGAGAGGACGGAGACUUCUGGAGGA
Long non-coding RNA from Etheostoma spectabile (orangethroat darter), 311 nucleotides. RefSeq lists it as uncharacterized. NCBI's taxonomy places the organism in Eukaryota, Metazoa, Chordata, Actinopteri, Perciformes, Percidae. The transcript is spliced from 2 exons. The record is from RefSeq and is a predicted model, not a curated record.